This is a long non-coding RNA of Sapajus apella (tufted capuchin), 3700 nucleotides long. RefSeq lists it as uncharacterized. The transcript has 7 exons. The record is from RefSeq and is a predicted model, not a curated record. Lineage: Eukaryota; Metazoa; Chordata; Mammalia; Primates; Cebidae.
CUGUUGACUGCUGGAGGCUUUUGAUUUUUUUAAGUUAAGCGAAGUGGAAAUAGUUGAUUGAGAUCCUAAAGAAGAAUCAUGUGACCUGAGUGAAAAGAAACCCACAAGCCAUUGGUCUUAGAGUUGAUGUCAAAUAAAUCACGCAGAAUGCUGCCCGUAUAUCAUGAAAGGACUUUCUGUUUUUCCCCAGAGCAGACUAGACCUAUCUUAGAUACAUGCUUACCUUAUUUCUGUUGUUUGGUGUCUGUGUGGACAGAUGAUUGAAACAGCUGUGGACUUGCCUGACACUAUGUCAUCAGCUAUUGGAAAGAGUGCUUUGAACAAAGACAUCGUGGGCCCCCUGAAGGGAAGAGGAAGCCACAAACAGCAUCAGAACGUGAAGAAAAUGUAGGUCACAGCUGCUACCCUUGGGACCGGGAGCACACUUUUAUACCUCAUGACGCUGAAAGCAUGAGAAGGAUGCAGGGGGAAUAUAUGCAUCAUCUCAGAGUACAAAGGGCAUAAAUAAUGAGUGGCAAGAGCAGGAUGAACAGCUGUAAGCAGUGUCGUGGUCAUGUAUCCAACAUGUGAGAGCAGCUUUACAGUAACAUCGGAAUCCUUGGAAAGAUGGCUUUUUCUUUCCUAAAAUAAUAAUAGCAGAGUCAGAUGAUAACACUGCCCAGCAAGGAGACCAGUCAGAAUGGCAACAAAAUAUUAAAAAUGCCACACUGACUGCAUCCUGAUGGCCACUGGCACUGUGUUCACCAUUGCCGAGGACACUGCAUGCUAAUCAUGACCAAGGUACAGAGUCAUGAGUCUGUUUCUCUGAAGAAGGUACAAGAGGAUCCAUCCAGCUGGUUGUGAUUCUCAGAUGGUAUCAGAAGUGGGAUUUGAAGUGGAGCUUCUAGCAACCCCCAGGAGCACUGAGUCAACAUGCAAGCUUGGCCCCAGUGCAAUGGUACAGCAAACUGAGUCAGUAGGGUCACUCAGGGAAAGGGAACCCAGAAGCCCGGCAUGCUGGCAAAAGGGUAAGAAUUUCUUACCAGUUAGAUUUUUGGCUUCUCUCUCUCUGUACAGUUGAAUGAAUGGUAAAAAUUACUGUUUACCUCUUCUUUAAAGUUUUGAUUAAUGCAAAAAUGAAUUCUGGGGAUAAUCUUAAACUAAUGUAUUUAUGCUAUGAAUUUGUUUUUCUGGGUUGAAGGGUACCUUAGGAUAAAGCAUGGACUUAGGCCCUCAUAAGUUUUUUUUUGCUCAAGACAGCCCAGCAAGCUGGUCAAUAACAAACUUUCCUGCAGGUCCCUGAAACAAAAAAACUGGAUUGGACCUCUAUUUUGCUUUAUGUCCUUGGGAACUUGACCUUGUAACCAUGUGGUAGUAUUUUCUCUUAGUCUUUGCCUUCCAGGGAACAGGAAUUUUAGGGUUUAUGUCAUAGUUAGCUCUAAAAAUUAUCUUUAGUUAAAAGUUUUUGCAAGUUCAAAGUCAACUACUCUAUAGACUCCUUUUGGGAAGGACAGUAGAGACUGCUCUGUGCUGUAGCUCAGUAUCUAAGAUUUUGGAAAUAAGUCCUUUUUGGUUUAAUAUCUGCAUAACUUUGUAUUGUUUCUUCUCCUCUAUGAACUAUCUUAAAUUUUCCUUUCUCUGAGCACCUGGGAGGUUACCUUUGAUAAAGUUCAAAAGCCAGAAUUAUUGACUGGCCUCACUAAAAUUGGGUGAUAAUAAAUUUUAAAAGGAUUUUAUUAAAGAGUACUAUAGUUAAAAUUCAGCUUAACUAAAAGUGGAUAUUCAAGCUCUAACAGGAACUCCUUGGGAAAAACAGGAGGCACCUGAAACCCCUUUUCUGGCCAUGUUGUUCCAAGGGCUCCAUCCUAAAGCCAAUAACCAAUUAAGAAACUAAAAACUGGCAAAUAAAAAAUCUGACAACUACUGAAGUAAUCUUCUUCUGUCUGUGUGAUUAUCUAAUGUGUUGUGUGUAAUGUUUAUUUAAAAGAGCUCUAAGUAAUUAAUAGGUUUAAACAAAAAUGAGCACCCAGCAAAAUAAAAACCGUAAUGCCUUUUCAUUUAUGUAACUUUAGUAAUCUUUGGGAAAUAAAAAAUAGCUUUAAAGAUUAUUGAUAAAAUAAAGACAUUUUGUCUAAAUUAUAUAGCUCAGACUUUAGGUUUGCUAAAUGCUUUAAGAUCAUAAACUGCUUUGACUUUUGAAAAUUGUUCAAAUUAUUUUGGAGACAUUAAGUUCUAAAUAAGUCCUACAAAUACAUGGAGUUAGCCAUGCCCCCUAGCUAUGCAAAGAAAGUUAUAAAGAAAGGAAAUUUUAUAUAAGAAAGAAUGUUAUAUUAUGGUAAAUUCUUGUCCCAAAGUAAAAUAACUAGUUGUUUUAAUAGAGGGAUGUUUAAGGAAAGUCAGAAAGUCAAAACAUGUUAUACAUGGCCUGUAUAAGUCAUGAAAGAAUUUAUGACAAGAAAUUUAUGCCAGAAAUGUACAAUUUAAAGGUGAUUAGGCCUCUUAAAUGCUUCAUAAAAUGUCACUAUUACUCUUAACUGUACAUCUUGCCUGUUUUACAGCUAGGCAAGGUGUGGGACAUGUGGCGUUAGAUGCUGGAAAGAGUCAGACCUUAUCUGCAUUUCUCUCUGGGUCCUAAGCUCCAUACCUAGUACAUAAUUAAAAUCCCUUACUCAUCCAGGUUUUCACCAAAAGUAAAAGUUGCUAAGAGUUAACAUUGUAAUAUGUAGUUGAGAUUAAUGAAAAAUAUAGGUUUACGUGCAAAGUGUGUAAGGAGAAUGAAAUGUAUUUUUUUUGUAAGAGAUUAGAAGAGAGUGUGGGAAUGUAAAUUUUUGCCUAGGUUGGAGGGUUAGAGAACUGUUUUAAAUUAAAUAAAGCUUGAACAAGUUUUGGAAAUCCUAGGGUGCUCUAUGAGAUUGUACUGUGGCUAUGAAGAGUGGUAAGCCUAACAGGUCUCCAUGGGAGAUAUAUUAUGUAAGUAAAUAAACAAUGGUUUGCUGGUUCAAAAUAAGUUGGAAUUAUCAUUUUGGCUAAUGAGUGACUUAUGGUAACCUAAGAUUCUAUUUUGUAAUAGCCAAUGUUAUUAAACCUUUACUAUUUAACAAACAUUUCAAAAUCAAACUCUAGAUUAUCAUGUGAAUCAGCCAAUAUGAAAAUGGUUUAAAUAAACAAUUUGGAUAAGCAUCAUGGUCUGGGUCAUAUUAUCUUUGAUAAUCCAUUAGUUAUCAGUGUUAUGCACCUAAAUUGGAAAAACAACUGAUAUUCAAGAGGACCUAAGUUCAAUGUUAAGCAUGGACUUUUGAAGAACCAGGACAGCCACUUUGUCCUCCUGAGCCCUUAAAACUUUUGUUAUUAAAGGUUCUGCAUUCCAUGACUCAUUAUGGAAAAGAUAAAGUGAUCCAAAUUAAAUAUAUUGAUGUGGUGACUUAUAAAUUGCAGAAAUAGUUUAAAACCAAUGUUUGAUUCCAUAUUCCUGGGAAAACAAUCAAAGUGUAAGGUACAUUUGGCUUCCUGAUGGGACAUUUAAACAUUUAUAAAGGGAUUUCAUUUAAUUGUCAUUUUCAGUACAUGUUUUCUGGUUGUAUAAAGGUUUCCCAUGCAAGAGGGCUGAUGUUAUAACAAUGGAUUAUUAUGCUGUGGUAUAUUUUCACCAGGUAAAGAAAGCUUUUCAUGGUUCACUGAGGCCAAUCCCUUCACAGUCUAGAACCCAAAGAUUGGAUCUUCU